UGUGUAGGCGGACGGCUAAGUACCUUGUGAAAUCCCACGGCUCAACCGUGGAACUGCUUGGUAUACUGGUCGUCUUGAGCCAUCUAGGGGCGAGCGGAACAAACGGUGGAGCGGUGAAAUGCGUAGAUAUCGUUUGGAACGCCAACGGUGAAAACAGCUCGCUGGGGAUGUGCUGACGCUGAGACACGAAAGCCAGGGGAGCAAACG
Molecule: ribosomal RNA, 207 nt
Filed under: uncultured bacterium
Lineage: Bacteria
Description: partial 16S ribosomal RNA
Rfam family: Bacterial small subunit ribosomal RNA
Source: RNAcentral